CAUGAGCAACCUGCCCUUCAGAGGGGGACAACAGUUGGAAACGACUGCUAAUACCGCAUAACAUAUCCGGGAGGCAUCUCCUGGAUAUCAAAGAUUUAUCGCUGAAGGAUGGGCUCAUGUCUGAUUAGCUAGUUGGUGGGGUAACGGCCCACCAAGGCUACGAUCAGUAGCCGGUCUGAGAGGAUGAACGGCCACAUUGGGACUGAGAUACGGCCCAGACUCCUACGGGAGGCAGCAG
This 238-nucleotide ribosomal RNA is filed under the name uncultured bacterium. RNAcentral's name for it is "partial 16S ribosomal RNA". It matches the Rfam family "Bacterial small subunit ribosomal RNA", at positions 116 to 354 of the family's 1533-position model. The record is from RNAcentral.